GGCUUAGAGUUUGAUCAUGGCUCAGGACGAACGCUGGCGGCGCGCCUAACACAUGCAAGUCGAACGGAGUUAUUCCGAAUGAAGUUUUCGGAUGGAUUUUGGAAUGACUUAGUGGCGAACGGGUGAGUAACGCGUGAGUAACCUGCCCUGGAGUGGGGGACAACAGUUGGAAACGACUGCUAAUACCGCAUAAGCCCACGGCCCGGCAUCGGGCUGAGGGAAAAGGAUUUAUUCGCUUCAGGAUGGACUCGCGUCCAAUUAGCUAGUUGGUGAGGUAACGGCCCACCAAGGCGACGAUUGGUAGCCGGACUGAGAGGUUGAACGGCCACAUUGGAACUGAGACACGGCCCAGACUCCUACGGGAGGCAGCAGUGGGGGAUAUUGCACAAUGGGGGAAACCCUGAUGCAGCGACGCCGCGUGGAGGAAGAAGGUUUUCGGAUUGUAAACUCCUGUCGUUAGGGACGAAUCAUGACGGUACCUAACAAGAAAGCACCGGCUAACUACGUGCCAGCAGCCGCGGUAAAACGUAGGGUGCAAGCGUUGUCCGGAAUUACUGGGUGUAAAGGGAGCGCAGGCGGACCGGCAAGUUGGAAGUGAAAUCUAUGGGCUCAACCCAUAAAUUGCUUUCAAAACUGCUGGCCUUGAGUAGUGCAGAGGUAGGUGGAAUUCCCGGUGUAGCGGUGGAAUGCGUAGAUAUCGGGAGGAACACAGUGGCGAAAGCGACCUACUGGGCACCAACUGACGCUGAGCUCGAAAGCAUGGGUAGCAAACAGGAUUAGAUACCCUGGUAGUCCAUGCCGUAAACGAUGAUUACUAGUGUUGGAGAUUGACCCCUUCAGUGCCGCAGUACACAUAAGUAAUCCACCU
RNAcentral lists this ribosomal RNA (868 nucleotides) under uncultured bacterium. RNAcentral's name for it is "bacterial SSU rRNA". It matches the Rfam family "Bacterial small subunit ribosomal RNA", at positions 1 to 874 of the family's 1533-position model. The record is from RNAcentral.